UGAGGAAUUUUCCGCAAUGGGCGAAAGCCUGACGGAGCGACGCCGUGUGUGCGACGAAGUCUUUCGGGAUGUAAAGCACUGUCAGAGGGGACGAUAUUGACUGUACCCUCAGAGGAAGGCCCGGCUAACUACGUGCCAGCAGCCGCGGUAAUACGUAGGGGCCGAGCGUUGUCCGGAAUUAUUGGGUGUAAAGGGUGCGUAGGCGGUUGAUUAAGUCAGGUGUUAAAUCUACAGGCUCAACCUGUAAUCGCAUUUGAUACUGAUCAGCUAGAGAAUGGUAGAGGAAAACGGAACUUCCGGUGUAGCGGUGAAAUGCGUAGAUAUCGGAAGGAACACCAGUGGCGAAGGCGGUUUUCUGGGCCAUUUCUGACGCUGAGGCACGAAAGCCAGGGGAGCAAACGGG
Molecule: ribosomal RNA, 403 nt
Filed under: uncultured bacterium
Lineage: Bacteria
Description: bacterial SSU rRNA
Rfam family: Bacterial small subunit ribosomal RNA
Source: RNAcentral